Molecule: long non-coding RNA, 3374 nt
Filed under: Podarcis lilfordi (Lilford's wall lizard)
Lineage: Eukaryota; Metazoa; Chordata; Lepidosauria; Squamata; Lacertidae
Source: RNAcentral
GCUGCACGAUAUUUUUAAUUGCUUGUUUAUUGCUUCUUUUCAUUGCAAUUAUAAUAUUAUAAAAUACAAAAUAGGAAAUAAAAUCCCCACAUUUCAUUUUAUUAUAUUAAACUUUGAAAUCUAUGAAAUUGAAUUUUGUAAAGCAAAAAUAAUAAGUAAGAAGUAAAAGAAGCAAUAAGAAUAGAAUUAAAAAUCAAUAUGAAUAUUUAGUGCAGACAUGCCUCAGACCACCUGAAUGAAACUUCUGGACAACCGGUGGUCCAUGACUGGCCGUUCUGUUUGGGAUGAGUGUGCUAGCAACAGAAUAUUCAGAAACAGUACAGUUUCUUUGAGUGUGGAGUAAAUCUCAGUUUGCGGCGAGAGGAAAAUUAAUACAGUGCUCUGAGAAAGAAGGAGCUAUUUGUUGGAAGGAUGAAUGUGAGCAGAUAAGGGAGAAUCUUUAUGGUGAUGGUGGUCAAAGUGACCAAAACAGAGAAGGCAAAGAGUGGAGGCAGAAUAAUUUAGCAUAUUGAUUUUAUCAAGAGACAUACUGGGCUGCAGGCCAACCAGUUAAGAUUUGUUGUUAUAUAGGGACUUGGGGGAAGGGCUCCACAAAUGAAGCUUAAUUGACAUGGGGCUGGGGGCACUAGUUUCUGGGAAAUAAGAUUCUGCUGUCUUUGAAUCCUGUCUAAAACUUCCAUCAUUAAUUUGACUUUUUAGCUUAAGGUGGCAGAUAAUGUUUAAAGGCGCAUCCUGUAUCAUCAUCUUUAGUGGCUGCUGUUAGGCAUGGGGGGGGGGAACCUCUCACUCUGCAGGGUAGGAGAAACUUGAAAGAACAGGGUACAGUUUGGAGUGUGUGUGAAUCUGCACAGCUCCAUAGAUGUCAGUGGAGGUGAUGUCAGUGAAACAUAACAUAAAAGCUGGACUAACAUUAAAAGAAACAAGCCCUGGAUUGCUAGAAGCUCAUUUUGGGAAAGGGUUAGCUCUCAGGUUUUAUUUUGAUUGUGAGCAUAAAUACCAAAUGCCCUGGAAGCAAAAAUACAAUGUAUUGUCUAUUUCACUGGGGCUGCAUCUUAUCUCAAACAAUUUCCCAAGUGUGCCAAAUGAUCGCAUUACAAAGCAGGAGCUCAGAGAAAGGAAGCCGGCAGCCGAUACAGACUCGACACUAAGAUGGGUGCACUCUUGCCACAUACUUCAACAGAAAGCACUCAAAAGAUUUGCUCGGAAAUAAGAACAGAGAUCUUGGCAGUGCAAUUGCAUUUGCUUCUCUAGGAAAAUGCUGCCCAGAUAACAUUCCAUACAAUUCUGGAAUGUGCUUAUGUCUUUCUGAUUGCACUGUAAAUCUGACUCCAUCUUAAAGACUGGCUCUGUCCCCCCCCCCACCUCUCGUUGCCCCCACCAACAAAAUGGUUUUAUGUUGUCAAAUCCCUCUUCCUUCCCCUCCCUGCCUCCUAGUCCCUCUCACCACUUUAUGACUUUUUGCCAAUGGUAAAUGUUAUUAACUCUCCCUGAAUGCCGUUGGGUAAGCUGUGAGAGCAACUCCUGCAAAUUAACAAAGCCGGUCAAAUUAGAUUAGCCACCACUGAAUGGGGCCUCCACAAAAGAGGAGACACUUCUUAGCUUCCAGCUUCAUUACUGCUCGACCUGCCUUGCUUCAAAACUUGGGUGUCAUGUGCAUGAAACCACCCGUGGCUUUUCAAGUAGGAAUUGAUCUUCAAGAAAGGGAAAAGUGCUAGGACAGGAACAAUGAGAGGGGCAAUUAUUUUGCUCUUCUUGAGCCUUGGAUGUGAAAACAGACUGGGGAACAAUAGAAACAAUAGAGUUUAUUGUUCUCUAUUCAUGAGCUGUCAUGUGACUCCCAAUGGGCCACAAUAGGGCCCAUUUCCUUUUGGAAAUGACUUGAGAUUCUCACACACUUUUAAUGCGUUGUCAUUUUGUGAAGGAUGGCAAUUGCACAUUUAUGGGGCUAUUAACUGUGGGUUGAUGAAUUCUUUAUUUUCUAAUAUAUACUGCUGAGUUUUGCCAUAUGUACAUAAAAUGUUUAUUUAGGAUUAUAUAGGCUGAGCAGAGACAAGGGAGAAACAUCUGGAAUCAAAUCUAUGUGGCUGAUUUAAAAUAAUAGUCUCCCCCACCCCAUCACCACCUCAUCGAAAUUCUAUUCAGGGAAAUCCUGUCUAAGCAAAGCAAGAACAUCAUGGUUUUUUUGCAAUGAAGCUGCAUCUGUCCUAAAAGGCACAUAUUCCCUUAGGACUCAUUAGGUCCUCUUGUAUAUGAUAAGAAAUGGGGCACAUUACAGUGGUAGAUUCUGAUCCUUUCAGCCGUCAUCGUUUAAGACACUUAGCUAGAAUUGGGGGAAAUAUAAAAAGCAGACAGAUGACCAUGAAACUUGCUGUUGGGAUCGAAAAUGGAAGGUUCACAGGAUCUGCUUGGCACUUACAUAGUUUCUUAUUUCAGAAUAUGAAUAUGGUGGACUAAUAUUCUGACUCCUCAUAAGGUGGCUACAGGUGGUUGUUUUUGUUGAUGUGUCUGUGUGCGUUUUAAAUGGACCCUAGGCUUGAGGGUGGAUGAAUUUGCAAGCAAAUUACGAUCCAGGCCACAUUGUUUGGCAGAGUGAGGUGAGCAUCUUAGGUGGCAGAUGCUGGAGGCGGAGAGUGGCAGUGAGGUGUUGAAGGACAGAACUGGGCCACAUGGCCUGCCCUGGAUCUUCUAAGCUAGCCUGCUACCCUCAGGUGCAGUGGAGAAUAUUGUCCCGUUAGCAGUAAUAAAAUAACAUUCAUGGAUGAAUGGAUGAAAACAUUUGUGUUUUAUUUGUCAUUUCCUAUUAAAAACCCAAACCGAAGACACUCUUUUAGGAAACACAAGCAUCUGAUGACAUCUCACCCCAAAGUUGCAACUGGGCUGUCUACCAUUAAAUUUAAACUUCAGAUUCAUUUUGAGAAUUUCCUACAGCUCAUUAAGAGCUACUUAAAAUUUUAACUAUUAAAAAUUUAGGAACACUUUCUUUUUUUAAUUCAGGUUGCCUGAAAUUUUAAUAUCUGCUUAAUUUUUAAUCUGAGCCCUGACAUGCAUAAGGAAAUGCAAAACCUGUUCUCUUAACAAAUAUGCAAAGUUGUAGAUUUCAUAUACUGUAAUGGAGUAGCUCAUUCUGCCCUCCACCACGUAAUUAUUAGCAGACACAUUCCAGCUUUUGGUUUUCUUUCUACAGAUUUUUAAAAGGUGCAGGUUACGUUGCAAUAUUUUUAAGUAGCCCGAUUCUGUUUACUCUGUGAUGUAUUGAGGGUGUACUUACAGGAAUACACCACUAUUACAUUACAAGGUAUGUCAAAUGAUUUUCAUUCUCUAAUUUUUUUUCUUUGCCUAAUUAACAAGGAACUGAAUUUGAUCUUCUUUCUGUU